CACACCGCCCGUCACACCACGAAAGUUGAUUUCACCAGAAGCAGGUAGCCUGACCGCAAGGAGGGCGCCUACCACGGUGUGGUCAAUGACUGGGGUG
RNAcentral lists this ribosomal RNA (97 nucleotides) under uncultured bacterium. RNAcentral's name for it is "partial 16S ribosomal RNA". It matches the Rfam family "Bacterial small subunit ribosomal RNA", at positions 1386 to 1482 of the family's 1533-position model. The record is from RNAcentral.